GUGCUCGCUUUGGCAGCAUAUAUACUAAAACUGGAACAAUCCAGAGAAGAUUAGCACGGCCCCUGAGCAAGGAUGACAUGCAAAUUCCUGAAGCAUUCCAUAUCUUU
This 107-nucleotide small nuclear RNA is filed under the name Cervus hanglu yarkandensis (Yarkand deer). The record is from RNAcentral. Lineage: Eukaryota; Metazoa; Chordata; Mammalia; Artiodactyla; Cervidae.